CCUACGGGAGGCUGCAGUGGGGAAUAUUGCGCAAUGGGGGAAACCCUGACGCAGCAACGCCGCGUGCGGGAUGAAGGCUUUCGGGUUGUAAACUGCUUUCAGCAGGGAAGAUAAUGACGGUAACUGCAGAAGAAGCCCCGGCUAACUCCGUGCCAGCAGCCGCGGUAAAACGUUGGGGGAAAGCGUUAUCCGGAUUCAUUGGGCGUAACGCGGGCGGAGGCGGGUCGCUAAGCGGGACCUCUAAUCUUGGGGCUCAACCUCAAGUCGGGUCCCGUACUGGCAGCCUCGAGUUCGAUAGGGGUAAGCGGAAUUCCCGGUGUAGCGGUGGAAUGCGCAGAUAUCGGGAAGAACACCGAUGGCGAAGGCAGCUUACUGGGCCGACACUGACGCUGAGGCGCGAAAGCUAGGGGAGCGAACAGGAUUAGAUACCCGAGUAGUC
This 439-nucleotide ribosomal RNA is filed under the name uncultured bacterium. RNAcentral describes it as "partial 16S ribosomal RNA". It matches the Rfam family "Bacterial small subunit ribosomal RNA", at positions 338 to 795 of the family's 1533-position model. The record is from RNAcentral.